RNAcentral lists this ribosomal RNA (440 nucleotides) under uncultured bacterium. RNAcentral describes it as "partial 16S ribosomal RNA". It matches the Rfam family "Bacterial small subunit ribosomal RNA", at positions 339 to 795 of the family's 1533-position model. The record is from RNAcentral.
CUACGGGUCGCUCCAGUGAGGAAUAUUGGACAAUGGGCGCAAGCCUGAUCCAGCAAUACCACGUGGACGAUGAAGGCUUUCGGGUUGUAAAGUCCUUUCAGUAGGGAAGAUAAUGACGGUACCUACAGAAGAAGCACCGGCAAACUCCGUGCCAGCAGGCCGCGGUAAUACGGAGGGUGCUAGCGUUGUUCGGAAUUAUUGGGCGUAAAGCGUACGUAGGCUGCUUUGUAAGUUGGUUGUGAAAAUCCAGUGCUCAACAUUGGACUUGCAAUCAAAACUACAAGGCUAGAGUAUGAUAGGGGAUAGCAGAAUUCCUAGUGUAGGGGUGAAAUCCGUAGAUAUUAGGAGGAAUACCGGUGGUGAAGACGGCUAUCUUGGUUAUAUCUGACGCUAAGGUACGAAGGUGUGGGUAGCAAACAGGAUUAGAUACCCCGGUAGUC